ACAACUAGAAGAAGGUGCAAGCAAUGUGUAACAGCACCAGCAUGGACUACCUUGCACGAGUUUAAAAAUCAUAUCCCUAUCUCGUCGUUAUGACUUUGAUAGUAUACACUCGAACGACCCUGGUACCUUGCUCACUAUAUUUUCGUUAUUGAGCAACUCCCAAACCACUUAUGGAAUUGCGAUAUAGUUAGCUACCUAUUGAUCAUACCUACCAACCUGCUUAAAAGCCCGAAAAAUGGGAUCGGUACAUCCCACGCUUUUGUGGACCAGUACACGAAUUAAACCGCCACACCAACUCGG
RNAcentral lists this small RNA (300 nucleotides) under Histoplasma capsulatum var. duboisii H88. RNAcentral's name for it is "Histoplasma capsulatum H88 hypothetical RNA". Lineage: Eukaryota; Fungi; Ascomycota; Eurotiomycetes; Onygenales; Ajellomycetaceae. The record is from RNAcentral.